This is a long non-coding RNA of Aedes aegypti (yellow fever mosquito), 639 nucleotides long. RefSeq lists it as uncharacterized. Lineage: Eukaryota; Metazoa; Arthropoda; Insecta; Diptera; Culicidae. The record is from RefSeq and is a predicted model, not a curated record. The transcript has 2 exons.
AUAGGGGUGGUUUGGCAAAGAUAUGCAUGAUCAGUAGUAAUACACCCAUGUACAUAUAAGUAGUUUGCGUUGUAAUUUAUUAGAUACUUUCGGUUAUGCCAUUGUGCGUUUAUUUCCAGCAGCUUCACAUCAUGUGCAUACUAUAUAAGAACCUAUUAUCUGAAAAAAAAAAACAAAAAAAAAACAGCAUUUGGAAAAAUGUCCAAUCUUAUCAUAUACAUACCCAGAUGAUAAAAUACAAGUUUUAUACUGUCCAAAUCUUUAUUAUCCGUUGGCAAUCAAUAUUUACCAAAAAGUCAGUUGAAUUGUUUGAAGUUAUUGCAACACAGGCAAUCUUUUACAGCAAUCGAACUCUUUUAUUCAAGGAAUGUUAUAUUAUCAUAUAUCUUAAGGAGAACAAAAACAUCCAUCAACACAAAUUAUGCGCCUUUUCGCUACGUAUUCAUCCCUGGAAAACGCUUCAGUGUGGCUCGACUUCGUGUGCAGAAUACAAGAAAUCUGCCCAAAUAUCUGAAAAAAACUACAGAUCAUUUUAAUGUUACGGAUUGAAGAGUUCAAUGUUUGCAUUAGAUCAAAUAUCAAUCGUCCUAUCGCAUUCUAUAAUUGCAUGCAUAACACUUACUUGCUUAUCUCGCUUAU